AACGUAGGAGGCAAGCGUUAUCCGGAGUUACUGGGCGUAAAGCGCGUGUAGGUGGAUCGGUAAGUUACUUAUAAAAGCUCCUGGCUAAACUAGGAGAGGUUGGGUGAUACUGCCAGUCUUGAAUAGAGGAGAGGUUGACGGAAUUCCGCGUGUAGUGGUGAAAUGCGUAGAGAUGCGGAAGAACACCAGUGGCGAAGGCGGUCAACUGGCCUCAUAUUGACACUCAGACGCGAAGGCAUGGGUAGCGAACGGG
Molecule: ribosomal RNA, 253 nt
Filed under: uncultured bacterium
Lineage: Bacteria
Description: partial 16S ribosomal RNA
Rfam family: Bacterial small subunit ribosomal RNA
Source: RNAcentral